CCCGUGUGAACGGGUGCUGAGUCCAAACUAUAGUACUACGUUGCUAAAGCAGGCAGAUAGCACUCCACGUGUAAACAUAAUAAACAGCAAUCAUUUAGACAAGUAAUACAUGCAAGUAGGUUAGCGUUCAAAUAGUUUGUGUUGUUUGUGAAUUUGAUAGAUUACGUAUGUAACACCCAAAAGUGCGGAAAGCAAAAAGGGAUCGAGUAUACUCACAGUGGUUGAUCGUGGAUUGAGAGGAGCACUGAGAGUAGGUUAGCCUGAAUAGUUCGAUAACAAUACAAUGAGUAAUGCGGAAAAAGUGAACAGUGGAAACUGGAUCGGAUAGACCAUUCGAUCGGACGGCUGUUCGAUCGAGUGGGCUGUUCGAUUGGGUUAAAGUCCGUUCGAACGUCCCGUUCGAUCGGCCGGCUGGCUCGAUCGGCUGGUUCCUUCAAGUGGAUUGUUUCUUCCUUUGAUGUGAAGGAUGUGUUUGUAUUGUUCAGAAGUUUCCACAACAACUAUCAUACAAUUCAGUUAUAUAACACGUCCCAUACCGUGUCCCAAAUAA
RNAcentral lists this long non-coding RNA (550 nucleotides) under Helianthus annuus (common sunflower). The record is from RNAcentral. Lineage: Eukaryota; Viridiplantae; Streptophyta; Magnoliopsida; Asterales; Asteraceae.